Molecule: transfer RNA, 81 nt
Filed under: Streptomyces finlayi
Lineage: Bacteria; Bacillati; Actinomycetota; Actinomycetes; Kitasatosporales; Streptomycetaceae
Also listed under: 1 other name
Description: tRNA-Asp
Source: RNAcentral
GGCUGCCCGGGCUGCGGCUCAUGCUGGCGGCGCUGUCGGGGCCGCUGAGCCGCUCGCCGUUCCACGCGGCGGGGCGGAUGC